Molecule: ribosomal RNA, 253 nt
Filed under: uncultured bacterium
Lineage: Bacteria
Description: partial 16S ribosomal RNA
Rfam family: Bacterial small subunit ribosomal RNA
Source: RNAcentral
UACAGAGGGGGCAAGCGUUAUUCGGAAUUAUUGGGCGUAAAGGGCGCGUAGGCGGCCUGGCAAGUGGAAGGUGAAAUCCCUCGGCUUAACCGAGGAACUGCCCUCCAAACUGCUUGGCUUGAGUCCGGGAGAGGUGAGUGGAAUUCCCAGUGUAGCGGUGAAAUGCGUAGAGAUCCGGAGGAACACCAAAGGCGAAGGCAGUGUCCUGGGGAGUACCUGACGCUCAGGUGCGAAAGCCAGGGGAGCGAACGGG